This is a long non-coding RNA of Meleagris gallopavo (turkey), 3725 nucleotides long. RefSeq lists it as uncharacterized. Lineage: Eukaryota; Metazoa; Chordata; Aves; Galliformes; Phasianidae. The record is from RefSeq and is a predicted model, not a curated record.
UCCGAAUAUGAAGUGCUCUAAAAUGGCUGAAGGUGCUGGCUGUAUGCAAAGGUGAAAUGAAGGAAGAUUGAGGAACAGUGAGAUACAGCUUUGUUUUUUCCUUCCACACCACCAGCUAUUUUUUCAUAUGCCCAGCACCUCAAGCUGUCAGAUAUCUGGCAAAUGAUGCACUGCUGCAGAUGUAUGAGACACAGUUCUUGUGUGAGGCUCUAUCAUGCUGACUGGCAGAGAUAAGUUAACAAGGGUCACACAUUGUGCAUGCAACACAAAGCCACACUGCACCUUCAUAUUCUGUCUCUCCCUCCCCAGAGCUCCAGAAAUCCAUGGGCAUCGCUGCCAUGCAAAAGACCCUGCUCCAAUUUGUUUUCUGCUGUGACUUUCCACUGAGAGCAAACCACGUACAAGCAGUGCAGAUGCUGUAUGAGAGUCCAUCCCGCGCAGAAGUCUUUGUGCCAGAGCCCUUGAAACGAUGUCAGGCCCAAGAGGAAUAGGCUGUGCAUAUGGAAAAGACAGCACCCAAGGCUUCUACAGCACUGGUUAACAAAGUUCUCACCCUACUGCCUUUGGUAAGUUUAAAGAGAAUGCCAACUUUAACACUGAACAUUGCACAGCCAUGUGUACUUCCAUCCUUCAUUUUAUCACAUUCACAAAUAUGCACUUAAAGGAGUACUGCAGGGCAAACUGGCAAAGAGACCACUCAGAUGUCUCAGAAAUAGCCCUUGGACUUAGGCACAGCCCCAAGUACAAAAAUGUGUACUUCAUCCAUGACACAUCUAAAGAUGAGCAUAUUAAAACACUGAGAACAAGUAAAACUCUUUUAACAGAGGAAAUACAGACCGAAUUUCAGGAACCAAAGCAUUCACUGUGUCUCAUGACACCUGGAAAGCCAGUGGUAAUGCAAUAUACUUGACUCAAAUCAGCCUGAGAAAGAAAGCCAGCUGGCAGGCAUGAGGGCACUAAUAGGCUCUGAUUGCCCUAAUCAGCCCCUCCUGAGGCAGCCUCCGCCCAUGGUCCAUGGCUCUAUAGAAGCCUAAGUCUGAACCCUCCCCUUGUGUUUGUGCGCUGUGUUGUAGAGGGAGCAAGGUUAGCCCUGUUCUUGGCUGUACCUGAGGUGCUUGUCUUAGGUGUUGCUUCAUUCUUACAUGUUUGCUUGAAGGCCUCUGUGUUGUUGCUGGGGCUGGUUGCUGUUACGUGUUCUCUUGUGCUGCUUAGCAGUACAAUUGCUCUGGAGAAGCUACUGUGACCUGUUUUCUUCCUUGUCUUCCUGAUUGGAGCAGCUCUGUUCUUACUGCUGUUGGACUCCUGUCUCCAAAGUAAGUACCCUGUAUUCUGUACUAAGAUUUUUUUUUUUCUGGUGGGUGUGACUUAAUGCCUCUUACUGGGCAUUUGUGUGUGUUUGUGUCAGUCACAGCACUAUCUGUAGCCUCUGCAUUGUCUGAUAGUUGCUUUGUGUUCCUAGAACUUGAGUAUCCCAGCAUUGUGAGAUGGCAGAGUAGGGGCUUUAAGGGAAAUCACCAAUAUUGAAAAAGUCUUGGGUAAAUAUGUAACUUCAGAAAAGAAGAGGAUGUUUAAAUGAUGGUUUUGUUCUGUUUAUGUGCUGUUAUUUCUUUCUAGGGAAAACAAGCAAUGGGAAAAGAUUCUUUAGAAGGUGUAAAGAUCUCUGGUUUUGUGUUCUUCCUUGUGUUUCCUUAGCUUUAGGAUUGUGAGGCAGUCUGACAAAUCUGAAUGGAGCACUGAUUCCAUCUCCUGGUCUCAAUAAGGAAAGUCAGAAUUUAAGCAAGAUCUUACUGCCACAAUGAAGCUUACUAAAUCUCUUUCUCCUUCUGAACAUCAAAGUAGAGCCAAAAGGAAUUAUAAAGAACAAAUGUAUGAACUGUGUUUUUCCCCAGAGUUUGUGAAAUUGCACAAAGAUCAGAAAUGAAUCAAACUGGUUGUGUGAAUUUAGUUUAGGACUUCGGGUCCUAGGAUAAAAAUCAACUUCUGUUGCAUUGAAUUCAAUUACAUUUUCACACUGAUUGAUAGGAGCAGAAUUUAUUUCUUGUUUCUUGCCAAAAUAACCAUAUUCUGAUUUUAAGAACUUAGUUCUUAAAACUAAGUUGCUGCACUUCCACAGUGAUGCUACAAAUGACUUUCUUGAGUAGGUGUAUGUCUGAAGGGUCUUAUAUGAAUUUCACAUCACUAAUUAAAUUAACUAGAGAUUCAGAACGAUGGUAUUUUUUCUAAGCAGGAGAGCUAUUUUAACAUUAGUUAAAUACACUGUGGGAGGUGCUCAGCUGGUCGUCAGUCUUUGAUGCUAAACUGCAGUCAAGUCCUAUGUGUUGUGCUGCUUUGCAGAAAGAUCACGUGCAAAGGUCUUUUCUCUAACUUUCUCACUCAGCUUCAGAAUUUGAGGUGCAGUUAAAGAUAGGAUCUCUCACUGUAAGCGCUGCUAGGGUUUUCAAACAACUUUGAAAGCUACCUUCCACCAACACAAAGGGAGGAGAUUCUUGUAUGCGUAGAUGAACUUGUCAGCAUCAGGGCAAGAAAAAGAGGAUGGAGCGCACUGUUUUUAAGUGAACCAAAAGGAUGGUCGUAACUAACUAAAAAAGCACUAGAAUAUUUUUGUAUGAUACUAAAACUGCUUUUGUACUGUGAGAGAGCUGGCUUAUUGAGGGUUUUUUUUUUUUACUUGAGGGGGGUGAAAUAUGGGGAAGGUGAUCUGAAAAUAUUAUCUUGAUAUCUUGUAUUGUAAUUGAUGAUUUUGUCUUGGUCUUGUAAGAUGACAUUGAGAAUACCCUUCACUGCUGUGGAAUGCAAGUAUAGCUGAAAAAGCACUUGAAAUUAUCCAGUGUUUCUGAUAGGAAUAACUUUCUGCAUGUCUGACUCUUUCCAGUCCUUCAUAUUUCUUAUGGAUUCCUGGUGACUUCUGUAAUGGAAAUUACAUGUGGCAUGUCUUUCACACUCAUAGAUUUAUCAAGGUCAAGCUGACAAGUUUUCUUUUCCCAGCCUUUGACUUUAUGUGACAACCUGUACUAAGUCUUAGCCACUUCAGACAGAUGACUAGACACAUCCCACAAGACCAAGGAUGCUUUGUUACAGUGAUAAAGUGGCUGUCAGACUGAUGGUGUUAAGUGUUGCUCAAAAUAUACAAAAAAUAAUGGGGAACUAACAUAAGGAUUAUAAUGAAAGGGGGAAACUUCAGGCUGGCUCCAAGCACUGGUAGGAGCUUGGUUACCUUAUAGGGAGAACUGUACAAAUUCAAUUCAUUUGACUCAACAUCCAAAUGAAGAUCAGUGGUGCUUUUCAAGGAUCAGUGCUGGGACUGAUCACAGAAUCAUAGAAUGGCUCUGGUUGGAAAAGAAGUUAAAGAUAAUCAAGUCCAACUGCAACCUAACCAUUCUACCCUAGACUGACCCUUUUCAAUUUCUUUAUCAUUGACAGUGGGAUUGAGUGUACAUGCUGCAAGUUUGCAAAUGACACCAAGCCUUGUGGUGCAGUCAGUGCAACUGAGGGAUUUGAUGCUAUCCAGACAGACACAGAGAAGCUUGAGCAGUGGGCCCGGGUAUUUUCAUGAAAGCCAAGUGUAAGGUUUUGCACCUGGGUUCUGGCAACUCCCUCUAUCAGUACAAACUAGGGAGUGUAAGGAUGGAGCACAGCCCUGCUGAAAAGGACUUUGGGGUACUUAGAUUCCUGUUCCGUCACAGUACAGAAAGAAGUUAAAAGGUAUUAUCAUCUCUCUCUCUCUC